GGGCCUUUAGCUCAGUCGGUUAGAGCUGCGGACUCAUAAUCCGUAGGUCGCUGGUUCAAGUCCAGCAGGGCCCA
RNAcentral lists this transfer RNA (74 nucleotides) under Treponema sp. J25. It matches the Rfam family "tRNA". From Rfam's summary of the family: Transfer RNA (tRNA) molecules are approximately 80 nucleotides in length. Their secondary structure includes four short double-helical elements and three loops (D, anti-codon, and T loops). Further hydrogen bonds mediate the characteristic L-shaped molecular structure. tRNAs have two regions of fundamental functional importance: the anti-codon, which is responsible for specific mRNA codon recognition, and the 3' end, to which the tRNAs corresponding amino acid is attached (by aminoacyl-tRNA synthetases). tRNAs cope with the degeneracy of the genetic code in two manners: having more than one tRNA (with a specific anti-codon) for a particular amino acid; and 'wobble' base-pairing, i.e. permitting non-standard base-pairing at the 3rd anti-codon position. RNAcentral also lists the same sequence under 4 other names. The record is from Rfam by way of RNAcentral. Lineage: Bacteria; Pseudomonadati; Spirochaetota; Spirochaetia; Treponematales; Treponemataceae.